RNAcentral lists this long non-coding RNA (1622 nucleotides) under Phaseolus vulgaris (common bean). RNAcentral's name for it is "long non-coding RNA (PVUL_LNC001899)". The record is from RNAcentral. Lineage: Eukaryota; Viridiplantae; Streptophyta; Magnoliopsida; Fabales; Fabaceae.
CCUCCUCCAGCUUCGUUACUAUCCCCGCGACACACUAGGGGAGAAUCUUCAGCUCCAGGUCCAAAAUCAAGUAAUCAUUGAAGUUGAUGAUUCAGAGAGUCAAAUGUCACAACAUGCUAAUGCUGAUGUUGAUAGUACUCUAGCUACCUCACUAGAAGAUGGGGAUCUACUCACGCAAAGCAACUCACAUCCACAAGAUGAUGGUCUUAUCAUCCAACAACAACUCAUGAAUUGUAUAAAGGAGCUUGAGAAGGAGAAUCGGAUGGUUGUUCGCAUGGUUUGUAGUCACGUGGAGAAAUACUUUAAAGCCGUGUUGUGACGUGAACCGAUGACAAAACUUUAAUCCUCCAAAAAUUAACAUACACAGAAUUGUUUCACCCUUCUAGCCUGUCCUUAAGAAAACAUACGUAGGAGUAACCGAGUAAGAAGAAAACUCACCUUCCUUCCAGACCAGUUAUCAUCCAAAUCCAACUCAAUCCUCGAGCCUUUCAGAUUCUAUUCAUGAGAUUUUGAUUUUUUCUUAGAUUUAUCAUUAGCUGAAUGUUUGUUAAGGUUUUAUGUUUUAUAGGAGAUACAUUUUAUUUAUUAAUUAAAAAAUCAAUGUGUAAAUAAAUUAAUAAUAAAUUAUAAAAUAACAAGUGGGUUAUUAAUUAAGUAAUUUUCUAGCUAUAAAUGAAAAUAACAUAAUAAUAUGACAUAUAUAUACAAUCCCGUAUAAGAAUGGGAGCAGAGUGACCUUUUCCAUUUUCAGUCUCUAACACGUGUGGGGUCUGUAUCUGGGACUCACGUGUGGGUUCUCUAACUCUAUGACUCCGUCUGUGUAAUUGUGUAAGAGUAUAAAGCUUUGAUCACAGUGAGGGUUUCUGUAGUAAAAAAUAAAAAUGGAGUCUGUUUAUUUGAGAUGGCUGAAGAAACCAAUGGUACUGAGACUUGUAUGUCUUGCUUCAUCAGUUGUUGGAGUGAUCUGUUAUGCACUCAGUUCCACUUUCAACCAUUUACUGGGAAACUGGACCUGGUGGAAGAUCCUUCUUUACAUUGUUUUCAGUUUCAUCAUUUGCCUUGCCGUCUUCUUCUCACCGAAAAGGUCCAGCACCACCUCUCUCCGGCUGGAAGCUCAUUUAGCAUAUUUGGUUCUAAUAGUCACUUCUGUUUCUUCCUUUUUGUUUGAUAACGCGGCGAAGGGUAAACCAGAUGCAUUCAGCCUUAUCUCCUGUGCUGCUUUUGCUACCAUGCCGCUUGGCUUGUCAAAUCUGACUCAACUCGGAUUUUGGGUUGAUCUACUAUACUUCUUCUCUGGAAGUCUAAUAGUACAACUCAUGAAGAUGAACUUGUGGUUAGUCAUUGUUGGAGGGGGCUUCAGUUAUUGCCUCCUUCAGCUCCAACUUCGUUACCAUCCGCACGACACACAAGACCAUAAUAAUCUUCAGCUCCAGGUCCAAAAUCAAGUAAUCAUUCAAAUUGAUGAUUUAGAGAGGCAAAUCUCACAACAAGCUAAUGCUCAUGAUGUUGAUAGUACUGUAGGUACCUCACCAGAAGAUGGGGAUCUACUCAGGCAAAGCAAUUCACAUCCACAAGAUGAUGGUCUUAUCAUGCAACAACACCUCAUGAAUUGUAUAAAGGAG